GGAGAGGGGGAGAGUCAAUCAUCAUGCCCCUUAUGACCUGGGCUACACACGUGCUACAAUGGCNNGGUACAACGAGUUGCGANGUNCGCUGANGCUAAGCUAAUCUCUUAAAGCNUNUCUCAGUUCGGAUUGUAGGCUGCAACUCGCCUACAUGAAGNCGGAAUCGCUAGUAAUCGCGGAUCAGCACGCCGCGGUGAAUACGUUCCCGGGCCUUGUACACACCGCCCGUCACACCACGAGAGUUUGUAACACCCGAAGUCGGUGAGGUAACCUUUU
RNAcentral lists this ribosomal RNA (276 nucleotides) under uncultured bacterium. RNAcentral describes it as "partial 16S ribosomal RNA". It matches the Rfam family "Bacterial small subunit ribosomal RNA", at positions 1172 to 1444 of the family's 1533-position model. The record is from RNAcentral.